GACGAACGCUGGCGGCGUGCUUAACACAUGCAAGUCGAGCGGAGCGGCGAACGGGUGAGUAACACGUGGGUGACCUGCCCUGCACUUCGGGAUAAGCCUGGGAAACUGGGUCUAAUACCGGAUAGUGUGGGAUGGGCCCUCGGCCUAUCAGCGUGUUGGUGGGGUAAUGGGCGACCAAGGCGGCGACGGGUAGCCGGCAUGGGGGGGGGGAGGGGCACAUUGUGACUACGACACGGCGCAGACUGCUACGGGGGGCAGCAGUGGGGAAUAUUGCACAGUGGGCGGGAGCGUGAUGCAGCGACGCCGGGGUGGGGAUGACGGCCUUCGGGUUGUAAACUCCUUUCACCAUCGACGCGGUAGAUGGAGAAGAAGCACCGGCUAACUACGUGCCAGCAGCCGCGGUAAUAC
RNAcentral lists this ribosomal RNA (408 nucleotides) under uncultured bacterium. Its description in RNAcentral is "partial 16S ribosomal RNA". It matches the Rfam family "Bacterial small subunit ribosomal RNA", at positions 28 to 526 of the family's 1533-position model. The record is from RNAcentral.